RNAcentral lists this ribosomal RNA (484 nucleotides) under uncultured bacterium. RNAcentral describes it as "partial 16S ribosomal RNA". It matches the Rfam family "Bacterial small subunit ribosomal RNA", at positions 30 to 507 of the family's 1533-position model. The record is from RNAcentral.
AUUGAACGCUGGCGGAAUGCUUUACACGCGCAAGUCGAACGGCAGCACGGGGGCAACCCUGGUGGCGAGUGGCGAACGGGUGAGUAAUACAUCGGAACGUGCCCGGUCGUGGGGGAUAACGUAGCGAAAGUUACGCUAAUACCGCAUACGAUCUGAGGAUGAAAGCGGGGGACCUUCGGGCCUCGCGCGAUCGGAGCGGCCGAUGUCAGAUUAGGUAGUUGGUGGGGUAAAGGCCUACCAAGCCGACGAUCUGUAGCUGGUCUGAGAGGACGACCAGCCACACUGGGACUGAGACACGGCCCAGACUCCUACGGGAGGCAGCAGUGGGGAAUUUUGGACAAUGGGCGCAAGCCUGAUCCAGCCAUUCCGCGUGCAGGACGAAGGCCUUCGGGUUGUAAACUGCUUUUGUAUGGAACGAAAAGGCUCUGGCUAAUACCUGGGGCUCAUGACGGUACCGUAAGAAUAAGCACCGGCUAACUACGUG